AGCAGCCGCGGUAAUUCCAGCUCCAAUAGCGUAUAUUAAAGUUGUUGCAGUUAAAAAGCUCGUAGUUGAAUUUCGGGAUCAAUAUAUCGGUCGUGCCUUGGUACGUACUGGUAUCAUUGGUUUCUCCUUUCUGACGAACCACGAUGUCAUUAAUUUGGUGUUAUGGGAAGUUAGGACUGUUACUUUGAAAAAAUUAGAGUGUUUAAAGCAGGCUUUGGCUUGAAUACAUUAGCAUGGAAUAAUGAAAUAGGACGUUUGAUUCUAUUUUGUUGGUUUCUAGGAUCGACGUAAUGAUUAAUAGGGAUAGUUGGGGGCAUUAGUAUUCAAUUGUCAGAGGUGAAAUUCUUGGAUUUAUUGAAGACUAACUACUGCGAAAGCAUUUGCCAAGGAUGUUUUCAUUAAUCAAGAACGAAAGUUAGGGGAUCGAAGACGAUCAGAUACCGUCGUAGUCUUAACCAUAAACUAUGCCGACUAGGGAUCGGAUGAUGUUAAUUUUUAAUGACUCAUUCGGCGCCUUACG
This 520-nucleotide unclassified non-coding RNA is filed under the name uncultured Glomus. RNAcentral describes it as "SSU rRNA". It matches the Rfam family "Eukaryotic small subunit ribosomal RNA", at positions 569 to 1092 of the family's 1831-position model. Lineage: Eukaryota; Fungi; Glomeromycota; Glomeromycetes; Glomerales; Glomeraceae. The record is from RNAcentral.